AGAGUUUGAUUAUGGCUCAGGAUUAACGCUGGCGGCGUAGCCUAAUACAUGCAAGUCGAAUGGUAGUAGCAAUACAAACCAUGGCGAACGGGUGAGUAACACGUAGGCAACCUGACUUUAAGACGAGGAUAACGUUGGAAACGACGGAUAAUACUGGAUAGGACAUCAGAAAGGGCAUCCUUAGAUGUUUAAAGGUUAUUAUGCCACUUAGAGAGGGGGCCUGCGGCGCAUUAGCUAGUUGGUGAGAUAACAGCCCACCAAGGCGAUGAUGCGUAGCCGGACUGAGAGGUUGAACGGCCACAAUGGAACUGAGAACGGUCCAUACUCCUACGGGAGGCAGCAGUAGGGAAUUUUCGGCAAUGGGCGCAAGCCUGACCGAAGCAACGCCGCGUGAACGAAGAAGUUAUUCGUAAUGUAAAGUUCUCUUAUCUGGGAAGAAAAACAAAUUGACGGUACCAGAUGAAUAAGCUCCGGCUAACUACGUGCCAGCCGCUGC
RNAcentral lists this ribosomal RNA (496 nucleotides) under uncultured bacterium. Its description in RNAcentral is "bacterial SSU rRNA". It matches the Rfam family "Bacterial small subunit ribosomal RNA", at positions 8 to 518 of the family's 1533-position model. The record is from RNAcentral.